This 800-nucleotide ribosomal RNA is filed under the name Bacillus aerius. Its description in RNAcentral is "bacterial SSU rRNA". It matches the Rfam family "Bacterial small subunit ribosomal RNA", at positions 111 to 896 of the family's 1533-position model. The record is from RNAcentral. Lineage: Bacteria; Bacillati; Bacillota; Bacilli; Caryophanales; Bacillaceae.
UAACACGUGGGUAACCUGCCUGUAAGACUGGGAUAACUCCGGGAAACCGGAGCUAAUACCGGAUAGUUCCUUGAACCGCAUGGUUCAAGGAUGAAAGACGGUUUCGGCUGUCACUUACAGAUGGACCCGCGGCGCAUUAGCUAGUUGGUGAGGUAACGGCUCACCAAGGCGACGAUGCGUAGCCGACCUGAGAGGGUGAUCGGCCACACUGGGACUGAGACACGGCCCAGACUCCUACGGGAGGCAGCAGUAGGGAAUCUUCCGCAAUGGACGAAAGUCUGACGGAGCAACGCCGCGUGAGUGAUGAAGGUUUUCGGAUCGUAAAGCUCUGUUGUUAGGGAAGAACAAGUGCAAGAGUAACUGCUUGCACCUUGACGGUACCUAACCAGAAAGCCACGGCUAACUACGUGCCAGCAGCCGCGGUAAUACGUAGGUGGCAAGCGUUGUCCGGAAUUAUUGGGCGUAAAGGGCUCGCAGGCGGUUUCUUAAGUCUGAUGUGAAAGCCCCCGGCUCAACCGGGGAGGGUCAUUGGAAACUGGGAAACUUGAGUGCAGAAGAGGAGAGUGGAAUUCCACGUGUAGCGGUGAAAUGCGUAGAGAUGUGGAGGAACACCAGUGGCGAAGGCGACUCUCUGGUCUGUAACUGACGCUGAGGAGCGAAAGCGUGGGGAGCGAACAGGAUUAGAUACCCUGGUAGUCCACGCCGUAAACGAUGAGUGCUAAGUGUUAGGGGGUUUCCGCCCCUUAGUGCUGCAGCUAACGCAUUAAGCACUCCGCCUGGGGAGUACGGUCGCAAGACUG